UCCCUGCUCCAGUGGUAGUGACAGGUGUAA
This 30-nucleotide non-coding RNA is filed under the name Homo sapiens (human). The record is from RNAcentral. Lineage: Eukaryota; Metazoa; Chordata; Mammalia; Primates; Hominidae.